This 265-nucleotide ribosomal RNA is filed under the name uncultured bacterium. Its description in RNAcentral is "partial 16S ribosomal RNA". It matches the Rfam family "Bacterial small subunit ribosomal RNA", at positions 524 to 788 of the family's 1533-position model. The record is from RNAcentral.
UACGUAGGUGGCAAGCGUUGUCCGGAAUUAUUGGGCGUAAAGCGCGCGCAGGCGGCCUCUUAAGUCUGAUGUGAAAGCCCCCGGCUCAACCGGGGAGGGCCAUUGGAAACUGGGAGGCUUGAGUAUAGGAGAGAAGAGUGGAAUUCCACGUGUAGCGGUGAAAUGCGUAGAGAUGUGGAGGAACACCAGUGGCGAAGGCGACUCUUUGGCCUAUAACUGACGCUGAGGCGCGAAAGCGUGGGGAGCAACAGGAUUGAGAAACCCU